ACCCCUCGCUCGACUUCCCGCAGAAACCCUCCCACCUUCCAGCUUCGCCAUGCUCUGUAAUUCCUUCUCUCAGGGUCACCCAGGCUGGAGUGCACUGGCAUGAUCACAGCUCACUGCAGACUCGAUCUCCCAGGCUCAGGUGAUCCUCCCACCUCAGUUUCCCAAGUAGCUGCGACUACAGGCACAUGCCACCACACCUGGCUAAUUUUUUGAUUUUUUGUAGAGAUGGGGUCUCAUUUGUUGCCUAGGCUAGUCUCAAACUCCUGGGCUCAAGUGAUCCUCCUGUCCCAGCCUACCAAAGUGCUGGAAUUACAAGCAUGAGUCACCACUCUGGGCUGUACAUUCUUGUUUCAACAAGGCAGUGGUAUAUGGAAAGAGCAUGGACCUGAGGAAUCAGGGUAACAUUCUUGUUAUGUAGAACACACAGGACUUCCUAUUAUGAUGAAUGACAACUGCCAUUGAUUGAGCAGCUCCCAUACACCGAACACAGUGCUAGGCCUUUAGAAGCAUGAUCACAUUUCAUCAUUAUCAUCAUCCUCAGUUCUGAGCAGAAGGGAAAACGAGGCUUGAAGAUGAGGCCUGGAGAAAGGAGAAAUAUGGAAAUGCUGGGAUAAGAAAGAAAGAAAAAGCAAAACAAAGUUGCAAUAUCCCAGAGAAUUCAGCUUAGCACUGAUUCACAGAACUCACCUGUGACACAUCCAUGAUGAAAAAUGCAGACAGUGUCUCGCUCUGUCGCCAGGCUGGAGUACAAUGGUGAUAUCUCGGCUCACUGCAAUCUCCGCCUCCAGGGUUCUAGGGAUUCCCCUGCCUCAGCCUCCUGAGUAGCUAGUAGCAGCUGCCAAAGGUCAUCUGACAUAAUAGCUGAUGAAUUCAAGCCCAGUGGAUUUCAUUUGCAAUUUUCAAUUUACUGAGGCCUCCAAACCCCACGGUGAUAAAAGCUUCCCCUAUCGUGGCCUGUCACAAACAUCAAGAAACUGCACAAACCCACAAGAAAGAAAAAAGAGAAAGCUGUGCAUCAUCACAGCUAUAGAUAAGGAGAACAGGAAGAAAUGGUACCAUGCGGGAAGGUGGGGAGCAGCAGCCUGUGUGGCUAGUUCUCUAAAUGCCAAUUGAAACGAAAAGACUAUGAGGAACAAUCAAAUAACUUCCACAGAAUAACAAGAUGUUUCUUUGGAGCUUUUAUGUGAAAAUUGCCUUCUAAUCUCUGACUUGACACGCUCCCACACAAAAAUGGAAGUGUAAAUAUGCAA
Molecule: long non-coding RNA, 1250 nt
Filed under: Pongo abelii (Sumatran orangutan)
Lineage: Eukaryota; Metazoa; Chordata; Mammalia; Primates; Hominidae
Description: lincRNA
Source: RNAcentral